RNAcentral lists this ribosomal RNA (473 nucleotides) under uncultured bacterium. Its description in RNAcentral is "bacterial SSU rRNA". It matches the Rfam family "Bacterial small subunit ribosomal RNA", at positions 335 to 800 of the family's 1533-position model. The record is from RNAcentral.
ACUCCUACGGGAGGCAGCAGUGGGGAAUAUUGCACAAUGGGCGCAAGCCUGAUGCAGCCAUGCCGCGUGUAUGAAGAAGGCCUUCGGGUUGUAAAGUACUUUCAGCAGUGAGGAAGGUGGGUAUGUUAAUAGCAUACUCAUUUUGACGUUAGCUGCAGAAGAAGCACCGGCUAACUCCGUGCCAGCAGCCGCGGUAAUACGGAGGAUCCAAGCGUUAUCCGGAAUCAUUGGGUUUAAAGGGUCCGUAGGCGGUUUUAUAAGUCAGUGGUGAAAUCCGGCAGCUCAACUGUCGAACUGCCAUUGAUACUGUAGAACUUGAAUUAUUGUGAAGUAACUAGAAUAUGUAGUGUAGCGGUGAAAUGCUUAGAGAUUACAUGGAAUACCAAUUGCGAAGGCAGGUUACUAACAAUAUAUUGACGCUGAUGGACGAAAGCGUGGGUAGCGAACAGGAUUAGAUACCCUGGUAGGAUAGC